AAUCAACGCUGGCGGCGUGCCUCAGACAUGCAAGUCGAACGCGAAAGCUCCCUUCGGGGAGCAAGUAGAGUGGCGCACGGGUGAGUAACACGUAGGUAAUCUACCUUUGGAUGGGGAAUAACAACCGGAAACGGUUGCUAAUACCGCAUAAUGCAGCGGCACCUAAUGGUGACAGUUGUUAAAGCGGGGGAUCGCAAGACCUCGCGUCUGAAGAGGAGCCUGCGGCGGAUUAGCUAGUUGGUAGGGUAACGGCUUACCAAGGCGAUGAUCCGUAGCCGGCCUGAGAGGGCGGUCGGCCACACUGACACUGACAUACGGGUCAGACUCCUACGGGAGGCAGCAGUCGGGAAUUUUGGGCAAUGGGCGAAAGCCUGACCCAGCAACGCCGCGUGAAGGAUGAAAUCCCUCGGGAUGUAAACUUCGCAAGAACGGGAAGAAUAAAGCCGGUGUCAACACCACCGGCGAUGACGGUACUGUUUGUAAGCUCCGGCUAACUCCGUGCCAGCGGCCGAC
Molecule: ribosomal RNA, 513 nt
Filed under: uncultured bacterium
Lineage: Bacteria
Description: bacterial SSU rRNA
Rfam family: Bacterial small subunit ribosomal RNA
Source: RNAcentral